This 253-nucleotide ribosomal RNA is filed under the name uncultured bacterium. RNAcentral describes it as "partial 16S ribosomal RNA". It matches the Rfam family "Bacterial small subunit ribosomal RNA", at positions 524 to 776 of the family's 1533-position model. The record is from RNAcentral.
GACGUAGGAUGCGAGCGUUGUUCGGAAUUAUUGGGCGUAAAGCGUGCGUAGGCGGUUUCAUAAGUCUGGUGUUAAAGCUAGGGGCUCAACCUCUGUGAUGCACUGGAAACUGUGGGACUUGAGUGCGGUAGGGGAAGGUGGAAUUCCGAGUGUAGCGGUGAAAUGCGUAGAUAUUCGGAAGAACACCGGUGGCGAAGGCGACCUUCUGGGCCGCAACUGACGCUGAGGCACGAAAGCCUGGGGAGCAAACGGG